UCCGAAAUGUCAAACGGGUCCGCGUGCGCUUCCCUCGGAACGGACGUGCGGUCGGCAGCAUCGUCUGAACCGCCUUCCGUCCCAAAAUGUGGGAAGGGCCGAGGACCUCGUCAGGGUUCGCUGCGGCGACUCCAUCGAGCCUCAGAUCAGGCGAGGUUACCCGCUGAAUUUAAGCAUAUCAAUAAGCGGAGGAGAAGAAACUAACCAGGAUUCCCCCAGUAGCGGCGAGUGAAGCGGGAAGAGCCCAAGCCUCUAAUCUCCGUCGCGUGGCGACGGCGAAUUGUAGUCUGGAGACGGGUCAUCUCGUCGGCGCAGCCUCCCGAAGUCGUCGUGGAAAGGCGCGCCCGAGAGGGUGAGAGCCCCGUUGUCGGGAACGCUUUGCCGGCGUGACGAGGCCCCGUCGUAGAGUCGGGUUGUUUGGGAAUGCAGCCCAAAGCGGGUGGUAAACUCCAUCCAAGGCUAAGUACCGGCACGAGACCGAUAGCGAACAAGUACCGUGAGGGAAAGGUGAAAAGAACCCCGGGAGGGGAGUGAAACAGAACCUGAAACCGUACGCAAACAAACAGUGGGAGGGAGCGCUUGCGCUCCUGACCGCGUACCUUUUGCAUAAUGGGUCAGCGAGUUGCGCUUGCCGGCAAGGUUAACCGUAUAGGGAAGCCGCAGGGAAACCGAGUCUUAAUAGGGCGACACAGUCGACAGGCGCAGACCCGAAACCAGGUGAUCUAUCCAUGGACAGGUUGAAAGUUCGGUAACACGGGCUGGAGGACCGAACCCACUGAUGUUGCAAAAUCAGGGGAUGAUCUGUGGAUAGGGGUGAAAGGCCAAUCAAACCUGGAGAUAGCUGGUUCUCUCCGAAAACUAUUGAGGUAGUGCCUCGUGUUUAUCACUGCCGGGGGUAGAGCACUGUUAUGGCUAGGGGGUCACGCCGACUUACCAAACCAUGGCAAACUCCGAAUACCGGUAAGCGCAAUCACGGGAGACAGACAGCGGGUGCGAACGUCCGUUGUCAAGAGGGAAACAACCCAGACCGCCGUCUAAGGCCCCCAAGCCGUUGCUAAGUGGGAAACGAAGUGGGGGGGCACACACAGCCAGGAUGUUGGCUUAGAAGCAGCCAUCAUUUAAAGAAAGCGUAAUAGCUCACUGGUCUAGUCCCCCUGCGCGGAAAAUGUAACGGGGCUUAAGCAACGCGCCGAAGACGCGGGUGUCAGAAGGUUGAGUAAAGGGAAUUGCCCGGGGAGCCGGGCAGUUUUUACAAGGGCGGGGUUCUACCCGACUUCGCCCUGUUUGGUGGGAUUUGAGAAAUUCAGUGCCGAAUUCGGUAUAAUUUUCGACAUGAACAUCAACGCCAGCAAGGAGCUGCUUGCCACGCUUGCCUCCACCGUUGCCAUUAUCGCCUUUUUGGUGUCUUUGGCGACGCAAAUGGGCGAAAUGCGCGGCGCAAUAGAAGCCAACGGCAAGGCAAUUGCGGAGUUGCGCGACGAUGUGCGCGAUUUGCGCAACACGGUCGCCGCGAACACCGCGUCGGUCGCAGAAAUGCGCGGCACAUUGUUGUCGCACAUUGGCGGGCAUAACCAUGCGCCCGUUGUCGCCGAAGGCAAAGAGGAAGAGUGAUAUGCGCGCUUUUCCGUCAUGUGAAUUAAAGUUCCCUUUACUCAACCUUUUGACGCGGUAGGAGAGCGUUCCGUAAGCCAGUGAAGGCGGUUUGAAAGGGCCGCUGGAGGUAUCGGAAGUGAGAAUGCUGACAUGAGUAACGUUAAAACGGGUGAAAAACCCGUUCGCCGAAAGUCCCAGGUUUCCUGUGCAAUGUUAAUCAUCGCAGGGUUAGUCGAUUCCUAAGGCGAGGCCGAAAGGCGUAGUCGAUGGAAAACGGGUUAAUAUUCCCGUACCUUCGCAUGAUGCGAUGGGGUGACGGAGAGUGCUGCCUUGUCCGGGUGUUGGAAGUCCCGGUUCAAGCUGGUAGUUCAUUGAUGUUUCCAGGUAAAUCCGGAAACGGAGAAUGAGAAGCGACAACGACCGCUUUUUCGGAAGCGGGAAGCAAGUGACGCACGCUCCCAAGAAAAGCCUCUAAGCUUCAGUCAUGCGAGGAUCGUACCGCAAACCGACACUGGUGGACAGGAAGAAUAUUCCAAGGCGCUUGAGAGAACUCGGGUGAAGGAACUCGGCAAAAUGAUACCGUAACUUCGGGAGAAGGUAUGCCCCGACAAUGUGAAGUCCCUCGCGGACGGAGCAGUAAGGGGUCGAAGAGAAUUGGUGGCUGCGACUGUUUACUAAAAACACAGCACUCUGCAAACACGAAAGUGGAAGUAUAGGGUGUGACGCCUGCCCAAUGCCGGAAGGUUAAUUGACGGGGUUAGCCCUUAUGGGCGAAGCUCCUGAUCGAAGCCCCGGUCAAUGGCGGCCGUAACUAUAACGGUCCUAAGGUAGCGAAAUUCCUUGUCGGGUAAGUUCCGACCUGCACGAAUGGCGUAACGACUGCUCCGGUGUCUCCAGCGUGGGCUCAGCGAAAUUGAAUUCUCCGUGAAGAUGCGGAGUACCCGCGGUUAGACGGAAAGACCCUAUGCACCUUUACUACAGCUUUGCGCUGACGCCAGAAUUUAUCUGUGUAGGAUAGGCGGGAGACUUUGAAGUUGCGGCGCCAGCCGUGAUGGAGUCGUCCUUGAAAUACCGCCCUGAUGGAUUUUGGUGUCUAACCUUGUUCUGUUAUCCAGAAUGGGGACACCGUAUGGUGGGUAGUUUGACUGGGGCGGUCGCCUCCUAAAGAGUAACGGAGGCGCGCAAAGGUGGGCUCAGUUCGGUCGGAAACCGAACGGCGAGUGCAAUGGCAUAAGCCUGCUUAACUGUGAGAGCGACAGCUCGAGCAGAGACGAAAGUCGGUCAUAGUGAUCCGGUGGUUCUGUGUGGAACGGCCAUCGCUAAACGGAUAAAAGGUACGCUAGGGAUAACAGGCUAAUCUCCCCCAAGAGUUCUCAUCGACGGGGAGGUUUGGCACCUCGAUGUCGACUCAUCGCAUCCUGGGGCUGUAGCAGGUCCCAAGGGUAUGGCUGUUCGCCAUUUAAAGCGGUACGCGAGUUGGGUUCAGAACGUCGUGAGACAGUUUGGUCCCUAUCUGCCGUGGGUGUUGGAAACUUGAAAGGGGCUGUCCCUAGUACGAGAGGACCGGGAUGGACGUACCUCUGGUGUUCCGAUUGUGGCGCCAGCCGCACUGUCGGGUAGCUAAGUAUGGGAACGAUAACCGCUGAAAGCAUCUAAGCGGGAAGCGUGCCUUGAGACUGGGUUUCCUUUGAGGGUUGUUGCAGACUACGACUUUGAUAGGCUUGGGGUGGAAGCGCAGUGAUGUGUGAAGCUGACGAGUACUAAUUGCCCGAAG
Molecule: ribosomal RNA, 3367 nt
Filed under: Halisarca caerulea
Lineage: Eukaryota; Metazoa; Porifera; Demospongiae; Chondrillida; Halisarcidae
Description: bacterial LSU rRNA
Rfam family: Bacterial large subunit ribosomal RNA
Source: RNAcentral